RNAcentral lists this ribosomal RNA (467 nucleotides) under uncultured bacterium. Its description in RNAcentral is "bacterial SSU rRNA". It matches the Rfam family "Bacterial small subunit ribosomal RNA", at positions 355 to 825 of the family's 1533-position model. The record is from RNAcentral.
UAAGGAAUAUUGGACAAUGGGCGGAAGCCUGAUCCAGCCAUGCCGCGUGGAGGACGAAGGCGCUCAGCGUUGUAAACUCCUUUUGGGCGGGAACAAUAACGCCGACUUGUCGGCGCUUGAGGGUACCGCCAGAAUAAGCACCGGCUAACUCCGUGCCAGCAGCCGCGGUAAUACGGAGGGUGCGAGCGUUAUCCGGAAUCACUGGGUUUAAAGGGUGCGCAGGCGGCCCGGUAAGCCCUUUGUGAAAUCUCCAGGCUUAACCUGGAACAGUCGGAGGGGACUGCCGGGCUAGAGGACGGGAGAGGAGCGCGGAAUUCCCGGUGUAGCGGUGAAAUGCGUAGAGAUCGGGAGGAAGGCCGGUGGCGAAGGCGGCGCUCUGGAACGUUUCUGACGCUGAGGCUCGAAAGCGUGGGGAGCAAACAGGAUUAGAUACCCUCGUAGUCCCUGAGCGGGCUGGCAAGGCGCAU